CCUACGGGUGGCAGCAGUGAGGAAUAUUGGUCAAUGGGCGGAAGCCUGAACCAGCCAAGUAGCGUGAGGGAUGAAGGCCCUACGGGUCGUAAACCGCUUUUGUAGGGGGGUAAAACCCUCCACGUGUGGAGGAUUGAAGGUACCGGACGAAUAAGCGUCGGCUAAUUCCGUGCCAGCAGCCGCGGUAAUACGGAGGGUGCGAGCGUUAUCCGGAUUUAUUGGGUUUAAAGGGUGCGUAGGCGGAGGUUCAAGUCAGCUGUAAAAUCGCGGGGCUCAACCCCGCCCCGCCGUUGAAACUGGAUGCCUUGAGUACACGAGAGGCAGGCGGAAUUCGUGGUGUAGCGGUGAAAUGCAUAGAUAUCACGAAGAACCCCGAUUGCGAAGGCAGCCUACCGGCGUGCGACUGACGCUGAUGCACGAAAGCGCGGGUAUCGAACAGGAUUAGAUACCCUUGUAGUC
RNAcentral lists this ribosomal RNA (459 nucleotides) under uncultured bacterium. RNAcentral describes it as "partial 16S ribosomal RNA". It matches the Rfam family "Bacterial small subunit ribosomal RNA", at positions 338 to 795 of the family's 1533-position model. The record is from RNAcentral.